UUUUCCGCAAUGGGCGAAAGCCUGACGGAGCAAUGCCGCGUGGAGGUGGAAGGCCUACGGGUCGUCAACUUCUUUUCACGGAGAAGAAACAAUGACGGUAUCUGAGGAAUAAGCAUCGGCCACCACUGUGCAACAAGCCGCGGUAAGACAGAGGAUGCAAGCGUUAUCCGGAAUGAUUGGGCGUAAAGCGUCUGUAGGUGGCUUUUCAAGUCCGCCGUCAAAUCCCAGGGCUCAACCCUGGACAGGCGGUGGAAACUACCAAGCUGGAGUACGGUAGGGGCAGAGGGAAUUUCCGGUGGAGCGGUGAAAUGCAUUGAGAUCGGAAAGGACACCAACGGCGAAAGCACUCUGCUGGGCCGACACUGACACUGAGAGACGAAAGCUAGGGGAGCAAAUGGG
Molecule: ribosomal RNA, 399 nt
Filed under: uncultured bacterium
Lineage: Bacteria
Description: bacterial SSU rRNA
Rfam family: Bacterial small subunit ribosomal RNA
Source: RNAcentral